This 325-nucleotide ribosomal RNA is filed under the name uncultured bacterium. Its description in RNAcentral is "bacterial SSU rRNA". It matches the Rfam family "Bacterial small subunit ribosomal RNA", at positions 28 to 334 of the family's 1533-position model. The record is from RNAcentral.
GAUGAACGCUGGCGGCGUGCUUAACACAUGCAAGUCGAACGGAGUACCCCUGAAGGAGUUUUCGGACAACUGAUGGGACUACUUAGUGGCGGACGGGUGAGUAACGCGUGAGUAACCUGCCUUGGAGUGGGGAAUAACAGCUGGAAACAGCUGCUAAUACCGCAUAAUAUGUCUGUGUCGCAUGGCACUGGACAUCAAAGAUUUAUCGCUCUGAGAUGGACUCGCGUCUGAUUAGCUAGUGGGCGGGGUAACGGCCCACCAAGGCGACGAUCAGUAGCCGGACUGAGAGGUUGGCCGGCCACAUUGGGACUGAGACACGGCCCAG